CACCUGGAUGAGGAAAAGCUAUCGAAAUAAUCCACAAGGUCAAAGAUAUCUGUUCAGGGAGAAGGCCCCUUUUCUUUGACUGCCAUCUUGACUGCAGGCCUGCUGCCCUUUCUUGUUAAUUGAGGUGUCAUUCAGCAAGAGAUACUCUGGUUAAUAAACCUUCAAGAAAGGAACGUUGUAACUUUAGACAGCUCCAAGUACCAAAUCCAGAGAGGCAAGACCUCCGAAUGAAACUACUUUGUCAAGGGGAGUUCUUAGUGGACACUGAUAAUUCUUGCAUUUGAUACGAAAUGAAGGACAAAGAUAUUGAAGACUGACUGAUGAAGGAGAAUGAAGCAUACCUAUGUGAAUAACUGGAAGUCCUGGUCUCAGCAAUGUUCCAGGUGGGUAAUCAGGGGCCAAACAGCGCUGCAGCUGCUUCCCCGGGCUGUUUGGUAGCUGCUCCACACUGAAGUCCUGCUCUGCUUGUGUUCCUGGAGCAUGGAUCUGCUGUGGGACCUUUUUAUCUGAACUGGAGAGGUUAUUCCUUUGCUUCCAUAAAUACAGUGCCAGAGCUCAUUAAGAACAGAAAUGCCUUUUUUGACAAUGGUGAUGGAUUCACUGAACAAGUCAGACUUCUGGCUAAUUCUGCCCAGCUUUAUACCAGAAAAAAAGGUAAUUUUUAUUCUGACCUUGUAUUCUUCGUGUUUUAUAUAUGUGCAUCCAGUAGACAGACAGUCCUCUAAUGGUACGCAGCGUUUGGUGACAGAUACACUUUCUCCAGUAACUUUCAUCAUGUGUUGGCUAUAGCAGUAUCUUGUACCUAGAAAGAGAGAAAAUGUUGUUUUCCCAGCAAAUUCAAACUUGGUGAUAUUCUACAAAUAGUAAAGAAAUAGGAAAGAAAUCUUAGGAUUUUGAAACCUUAGGAUUUCAAAAAAAGCAGGAAGAAUUUUGAUGUGUGUGUUUAUUACAGUAACUACGUGUAACUAACUAAAUACAUACUUGUGCAUGCACACACGCGCGUACACACACACCCCUACCUGCAACCAGGAAGAAGUUUUGUCUCAAAACUAACAUGGAUUUAUAUGUUACAGAUAAAUUUGACUAGACAGUCAAAUUAUGGAGCAAGGUGCAGAUAAACCCCUACAACCUUGUAUGCCAUUAGUUUUACAAGAAUUACUUUCAAAAAUGAACACUUGCAUUAUCUGUUUAUAUCUGAAGCUUUCAUGCUUCUUACAUUUAUAUGGGUUUAAAUUUUUCCUAGCUUCACGUACAACCACUAAGUGCUUAGAAGCACCUAACACACUGUAAAUUGGAGAUCCCCUUUCCCUUUAUUUUAACAGACUGUGCAAGUUGUCCUCAAUGUUUGUACUCUAACCCUGGCUCUCUAAGAGCUUCCUGCAUAGCCUGGAGUUGACUAUUUGGCCUCUCUGUCUCUCAAUUUAUCAUUUUUAAAAUAGUGGUGAAAGACCAGCAAAACAGUUGGGAUGACUGAUGUAGUCUUCUGCUGUGACUGUGCCCCCGUUACUUCCACUGCAUCUUAAUGUCUACGUCUCCCGCAGCCUGAAGGCUCAAACCAGGAUCAGCUACAAAUACAAUGGCUGAGCUCAGGCUGAAAGGAAUUUAGUUUUAUUUCAUUCUUUAGUUUUCAGAGGGAACUGGAGGGUGCUACUGCCCUAUCACCCUCCCAGCACUGUAAGAUGAAAACACUGUAUUUUCAACACAGGAAACAUUCCAUUCUGUGUUUCUUCUUAAUUUGCUACCUUGCAUCGUAUUAAUCAACAUUAUUACUGAUGCAAUUGUUGCUUUCACAGGGCAAAAAAAAGGCGUGUAAUCAAUUCAAAGUGAACAUUCCUGUGCAGCAAUUCUCUCGCAGGCAUAGCCCUGCGUGCUUGUCGUGUUUUAGGCAUUCGGCAACAGCAGAGGGAGAUUACUGAAUGUACAUGUUAUUCACUAGGCAAUAAAAACCCUCAGACAUCUGUCAUAUCUCUGACCUGCUCCUAACUCAAGUGUGAUAACCACAGCAAACAGACUUGACUUACUUAUCAUCGGAGGGCUGAAACGCUCGGUGUACUGCCCUCUUUCAAAUGCGGGAGGGCUACAGCACAAAGCUCUUCAUGCAUGUUCCAGGCUUCCCCACGGCGAGCUUAGGCGCACAGUUUUACCCGAAGGGGAGCACGCUCUACUCCCGCUGAGGGGACAAACUGGGCUGGUGACACUGAGCCAGCAAAAACAAAGCAUCUAGCACCCCAUAGCUCUUUCAAAGUCGCUCCCAAGGUUGUUUAGGCUAAAAAAAAUAACAUCUGUUUUAGAAAGUAUGGUGCAGUCAUCCUGGAGAUAUGUAUUUUUCCCCUCGUAUGAAAACAGGCAUGCUGCUCUUCAUACGGAGCUGAUGACCAUCUCCUGUGAGACCAGCGGUAACUGCAGGACUCCACAGCAAGCAACAAAACCCCUCGUUCUAAUGGAGAACGUGCUGCCACUGGCUUCCUAAAUGCCAUCUGGGCAACGUUAAUCCUACAGAGGAGACGUGCUGCAGCUCCAUUGCCUACCAGCACUCACGUGAACCAGGGACGAUACAAGCCCAGAUGAAACUGAAGCAGACUUUUGCUACCCUGGCAGAAAAGACUGCCAUCAAGGCUAUUAACUUUUGCACUAGUCUGGUCUUUUUUCAGCCUGACUCUUUUCUCCGAACAGCCUGAGCGCAGUGAUGACAGUUGAUAAGGAAAGGAAUGGUCCACAGAGCCCCCGAGACAGCCCGGGGCAAAGCAGAGGUGAGGUAAAGAGGCAAGUCUAACCUGUAAUUACUGCUCUGGAGCUGGUCAGGCCUGGGGGAGGCAUGGAAGAGGGCUCCAAGCUGAGCCUAAGAAGCAGAUAGGCCCAUCGACUGUAAAACUUUUAACUAAAAUAAUACAGAAAUUUAGAGCAAUUCAAAUAAGACAUUGUAGCAUGAAAUUUGAUGCUUUUAACUAUUGUGGUGUCCAAGCCAGGCAGGCAGGUGUCUGCCAUGGUGUUAAGGAUAGACUAGUACUCUGCUUUUUCUCUGCUCAAUGGCAAUCUCCUCUUUAAAAGGCUUUCUGUGCAGUAUGGAGGAAGAUACUGUCAGCUUAAACCUGGCCUCUGUUGUAUCAUACCAUGCAGGGAUUUAUUUUUUUUCUUCCAGCGUUUCUUUAACAGCCCUUCAGAGGCAGGCCGAGUGGGCUGUUAUACUUAAGGCUGUCCAACACUUUCCAUUAGCUCAGCAUUUGAAAAUGAGAUUAUAGCUCUAUGCAAUUAUUUGGGGGAUGCAGAUAUAAUUUAUAGAUUGCUGUUUGAGACUAUAAAUUUGCUGUCAUACUCCUCUCAUCUGGGCUGCUUCCCUGGCUCCUUUCACACUGGACCACAAUGCCAACAGGCCCAUGACAGAGAGAGGUUAAAUUUUCAGGGUUGUCAAUCUACGCUGCACAGGAGCAAAACUGGCUUUUCUAGUUAGCGCCUCAGGCACUAGUCACCGGGCCAGAGAAGUGCUUUAUCUCAGAAAGGCAGCGAGGUUUCCUGAUGCACAGAACGGGUUUUCAUUAGCUGCUUUAAUGCCAGGAGGAGAAGGAAAGCGCAGGUGGCCGUGGGCAGGCAGCGAGCAGCAGGGACGAGAGAAGGCACCGCGUGCCAGGGACACCAGCACGUGCAGGCCAGCACCAAGAACGAUGGUUUGAAACAGCUCGUAAAUCAGACUCCCAGCACCCGGUGAGGAAACUACCCCCACGUAACUGUGACAACAUGUGCCUAAGCCAGGGGAAAAUUAAAUCAUGAUUAGAAGCAGAAAGGAAAUAAAGCCAGCCUCUCCCAGCGCCGUGGGGGAAAGAGAGAAGCACAACAGGGGCGGUCUGUGCGGUCUGGAAGAGCAGCCCCCGGCAGAGCUAGCGGAGCCCCAGCCCAGCACGGCAGGGCGCUGAGCGCAGAUCCAGGACUAGCCGCCUCUACGGAGCUGCUUGUGGGUAAAUACACGUCAAACGGGAGCUGCCCCGGCCAGCUGCCGACACCGUCUGAAGGGCCCGAGCCCAGGGAAACGAGGGCCGUGAGCCAUCGACUGCCCAACUAGUGGCAGCAGAUGGACAAUCUCCAGCCUGGGGGGAUUCGCUGGGAGGCACGUAUAUGUGUGUGUGUAUAUAUAUAUAAAUACACGGAACAGAAGCCAUACACACACCUCAGCACAAUGAAACAAAACUUGUUUAGAGCCCUUAACCCAAUCCGACCUCUCCUGCACAACGUCCAGGCGUCCCCCCAGCACACGCACACCACCAGCCCGUCUCCGUACCGCCCCAGCAGAGACACUCGGGGCAGCCGCUUGUUUGCACGUGGAAAUCGCUCAAUAUUCAUGCUGGUAGAAAAACAAAGAUUAUGAGGUUUUUUUUGAAUUUUUUACCCCAAAGAAAACAAGGCAGACUUCAUGAACCUCGUUAUUCAUUGCAAGGAAUCGGUGAGCUACACUGAAACUCUCUGUUGGUUCCUAUGCUAUCAGCAGCAAUAGUGUGGUGCUGUACAAUAAAAUUAGACCCCCCCCACCCCAAAAGGAAGCAGCUCUUCACAAUCCAGCACUAACUCUAAUAAAAUGCACAUAAAGUAGCUUUUCUCAGAAAUCUGCGUACUCCAUAUUUUACAAAUACUCUGAAUAUGUGCACAUUUGCAGAACAGAUCUACUCUUCAGAGUGCGGUAACACAUUUUUCCUUCUGAAUUAACUCCGUUGCUUUCUAAAUUUUAGCAGCCUCUCGUGCAUAACAGCAUGCGUGCACCAACGUAAUAGAAAAUGGCAUGGACUAACCUGAAUUGGACACUGGCUCGCGGUUAGGGGAAAUAGUCACAUGGUAUUUAGAUCAUACAGUCUGUUUAUAAAAGGUCUUGGGCACUGACACAGAAAUCCUAGUUAACUCAAUCUUUCCAGCUUCAGCAGCAUCUUUCAGACGGAAAGGCAUCCUCACUGGCGUUACAGAGGAGGAUUACUUCUUCCUGCCCUUUGCCCUGACACUGCGCUAUGGAAAUGAACCAUUAGAUUCACUGAGCAGCAGGACAAUUGCUCAUUUGUCAGGUCUCAUUAGGGUGGCGACAUGUCGCCUUACUUGUCACCUCCUCCGGAGACAAUGGCAUGUCAAAGUCCUCGGACGAAAGAGGACCGGGAAGUUUGCAAGCAAAGGCCAUGCCAAAAUCAAACGUUUGGUUCUCCGGAAGACAAGUUGUCAGAGACAAAGAUCAUUUGUGAGGACUGUGACCUAGCCCUUGCUCAUGGCCUUCUCCCAGGCUCAGGAGGUAUCUCCUCGCCGGUCUCCGUCUGGACGCUAUGAACGACUCAGGCACUGCGCUAUUGCCAGCUGAAAGGCACCGGUGUCCUCAUUUUUGCUGAUUGACCUCUGCAGCUUUUUCUUCUAAACUGAAGAAAAAAUGUCACACUUCAAUUCUCCCCAUAUAAACACUCAGCUAAAGCAAGCUAUGAAGGAAUUUCUUGUUUAUGGACAUUUUUGUGGUUCUUCUUUCCACAUACAAGCACUGCACAUGCCGUAGUGUUCAGUGCCUCUCCGCCUCUGUCCUGCAGGAACCGAAACAUUGCUCUGCUCUUUGGAUGUCAGGCGCAGACGGAGGCUGCCCCAUUUCACAACACGUUUAUGCUAUACUUCUAUGCUAUACAGGAUGUUUAUGCUAUACUUCUAUGCUAUACAAGAUGUUUAUGCUAUACUUCUGCCUACAUCCCAACUCCAGUUUCCUCCUACACCUCCUUCUCACUGUCCAGGCCCCAUCUCCAAAUUUUAUAGCUUACUAUCUCACUUCAUCUUGAGCGCAUUUUCUCAUACCUUUUCAUUCGGAAGAUCUUUCAUCUCGCAGUGCCCUAAAGCAACAUUUCUCCUCUGAGAUAAAUAAAAAAGCAAAAGCAAAUAAAACCGCCCUCAGCAUUAAGACAUACCAGCCCUGACCUAUCAAGCACAGCACGUCAAACCAGCAAGGGCUGUGAGUAAACGCAGCAGCCACACCACAUGUACUUUGCUCUUGCAGAUCACACCACGUAAGGUCAGCUCCAGCUAUCUAGGCUAUUUUCUGAUGAUUAUUCCCGAGUGAUAAAUGAAGUCAGAGGAGCUACAACCAGUUUAACAAUGCUCGACGACCUGUUCCAGGAUGCAAAGUUUACCUAGCAGUGCUUCUUCCUUAUGUACAUUGGCAACGUGACUUUCUCAGCAAUUACAAGAAUUAAUUCACUGUUCUUUAUACUUCCUCCUGCCUUUCUUACAGCCCACACAGAAACUGCAGAUAGAAGUUUCCACUACUGCAACUACAAAAUAGGUGCUCAUUUUUUAUAGCUUCAAAAACAACCCCCCAAACCUGUAUCUGUACUGUUACCACUGUCCAAAGACAAAUCUGAAUUGCCGUGACAGACUUCCCAUCUGACAGCUGCAUGCUAACAUUUGAUAAUAAAUGCAGUCUUCAGCUGGAGGUAAACAUCAGCACCGGUGCUGGGACCAGCAGCAUCCUGGACAGCAGUCCAGGAGACAGUCUCCAAUUUGGCCAGCCCUGUUUGUAAUUCUGCCACGGACUAACUAUACGGCACAGGACAAGUCUCUGCACUCUCUAGUGCCUUUAUCCACCUUUCCCUCAUUCCACAAACUUUUUUAAAAUCUAUUUGGAUUCGAGGGUCUCUGAGGAAGACAACGCGGGUGGCUUUACGGCUUUGGAUCCUUGUUUUAUCCCUCGUUACUAGAAGGGCGGGCAGGCCAGAAGCUGCCCCCUCGGGAGAGCACGGCCACGGGAAGUCUGGUGCCGCAGACACCACCGCACACGGAGCCGGGCAGAUUUCCACCUUUCUUCGUUACAAGCAGCCAAGCCACAGCCGCCACGCAUUUAAAAACGAGACAAAAACCAAGACUUUACUACAAGCCAUUACACUUUUUCCUCCUCAAUCCUUUUGUCACAUCAUCAGCUCAUUAGCAGAUCGCUUUGGCAAGUUUGAACCAUCUUGGGAAAAAAAUCUGAGAUUUUUGUUCCCUUUUUUCCCCUCCAUCCUAUGCUGCCGAAUUUUUUUCCUCUUUUCUGCUUUUUCUUGUCCUUUCAUUCCUUGCACACAUACGACAGAAAGGUUUUGAAUAGAAACUAGGAUUCAUUUGAACUCCCUUCAGAUCUAGCCCCUUUCUACCUGCCUUUUAGAGAAUUUUCCUUGGUGUUCGGCCCUGGGAACUGCUAAAAAUGUGUUAGCCUCUUGAUAAUACGCGAUGUAGUGAAGCGCAUGCAAUUUUUAUCUAAAGAACCGGCAGGAGCUGUCGCAAAGGGGUUCACUACCACUCCUCAAUUACAGUAAGCAAGAGUAAUUAAACAAUCAAACACAAUUAGCGUACAAAUUACUCUCAUAAAUGUGGACGAUCUAAUCUCCUUGCUGCUAAUUACAAAGCCUGUAGUUCAUUGAGCUAAAAGCCUAGGUCUGGGGAAGUGAAGGGGGGAGUACAAUAUGUUCCCCUCUCACACAGUCUUUUCUCCGAUACAGCUUAACAAGAUGCAUUUUCAAGAUGAUUUUUAUUUGAAGUCCCACAUCAAGUAUUACUUCCCUUUCCACUAUGACUCCCCAAAGUCUAAUCUUUUUCUUAGGACUUGUACAAACACCUGAUCCAGGCCCAGUUGUUUUAAUGAGUUUUAGUAAAAUAUCACUUAUAGACAUAAAUCCCCAGAUGAUAGUUCAGCUUUAGAUAAACACAGAAGAAAGCUGGAAGAGAUAUAUUUCAUUAUCACGUGCAUGUUUCAGAUACUUCGUGUUUGUAUGGGAAAUGGCACAAAGGGCAGGAAAAAAAAGGUUAAACUGAAAUUCCAAGUGAGACAUAGCAAUUCAUUCCCACCCCACUCCGCUGCCUGUAACACGCUGCAGCUCUAAUGAAUUGGGGAGCAGUGGCACAAGGCCCUGGCUGGUUUUUAAAUUAGACAUAGUAUUCACACCUGCGACUGUGAACAAUUCUGAAUUAGCAGAAAGAUGGACGUGGAUGGUCUAAUAAAUCACGCCGAGACCUAUAGUCCAUGCUUUCGAGUGGCAGGCGGAGGGGGCAGCCGGGGCAGCGGGCCCCGGACUCAGCGGGCUGCAUAUCGGGACGGGACUCGGUCCAACGGGAGUUUGUGCCUGGUGGAGCCGGGAUCGGCCGAGCUCCGCUGGGGAUGCGGCGGGCGGCUGCAGCACCCGGGCGCUUGCCCCGCCGCGUCCCGCGUCCCGCGGGCUGACCUCAAUACGCAGGGGGCCUGCGGGGAGCCCGGCUCCGCGCAGACGGGGGAUCAGGAAACUGUGCACGAGCACAGAAAUCCUGGGAUUUUUCUGCCUAAUAAGAAGCAAAAAAGUCCUGCCAGUUCCAGCACCUGGGCCCCCCUCUAGCUGCAAAGGGGGGUGAGGGGAAACUAAAUUCUUUCCUAAAUAAAUGUUUAGGUUCACUGAGCCAACUGCAAGGGCUCCUGUCUCCAAGGCGGGGAUGUUAUUCAUGUGGACCAUGCACUGCAUGUGGCCUCUUUACGCCUUUUUAUGAAAGCAGUGUAGAAAAACACCCGGGGCAGCCAGAAGGCUCCAUGCGAACACGGAGGUUUCCUGGGAAGCCCAUGAAGCCCAGGGUUGGUGGCUGUACCUCGAAACAGCAGUGGCAGCAGGCAGGGUGCCGUGGCUGUCUCAGGGAAAAAGCAAGACGAGGGCCUCGGCCCGUGGAAUAAACUGAAUUUCUGCGAGAGCCUAUGUAGCAACAGCAACUGGGGUCACCCUGGCUGCACGUCAUCCCCAGAAGCAGAAACGUUCCCGUUAGGAUCCGUGGAAGCAUCCAUCAACAACAGCUCUGCCCCAAUGCUGCGGCCAGGAAAAGGGGAAAGUAAACCACGACAUGCUACCCACUAAAACCCCUGCCAAAGCCUAAGAGAUGCCAAAGGGAUGAGCAAAAUAACAAUGGCCAAUAGAGUUUAAUAUAUUAAUGCAUUUUAAGAAACAUAUGUCUAAUAAGACAUAUGAGAAACAGUAAAACCCCUAAGCCUCUCACAGGUCUGCAAAACGCAGGUCAUAAAAUUUUAAAGGAGGAACAAAACAAAACAGGAGAGCGUAUCCCGUUCUUAGGACAGCACAGCUGGCAAACGCUCUGUUUUAUCUGUAACCAAGGAAGACAUGCAACUCUUCACUAAAAUAGCUUUCUAGUCUACAAACCAGGCUAGCAUCUAUCCAAGACUUUUAAAAGAAUCAUCCUACCCCUCUGACCUAUUAAGUUUACAUUUUUAUUAAGUCUAGGAAAUGGUGACAGUCUGGAGACCAGGAGGAUCAUCAGCAGAAACUCCUUGUUUUUAAAGGAUCAGACAAAUGACUGCUUACCUUACGGUCACUCCUGGAUAAACUCACAGAACAGCUUAUUUGUGCUACAUCAACAAAAGUUUCAAGUUGUAAAAAAUUGCAACAGGGUGGUCAGUACAACUUUGUGGAAAACAGGUCUGCAAACAACUGUGUCAUUUUAGAAGGGGCAGGAUUACGGCCCCGGCUGUGAAAGGAGACUGUUACAGGGAAUAAUUGGGGAGAGACCAAAGCAGACAGCCAAAACCUUCUGAUUACAAAAAUGAAUUCUACCCAAUUAACCAAGCAUGCUCUGGCAGAAAGAAAAAACAGCUAGUGACAUCUCAAAAUCUAGUUGGCAAAAAGGAUCUCUUCAAAUCAAAGACAGUUUUUUUCCUACUCUCCUGCAAGGAUUAGUUCAACAUUUUUUUUUUAUCAACAUCAUUGACAAUAAUAACCCUCUUUUGCCGGCAAAACGUGCAGAGAACGCAGGCGUUAGUGCAGUAUUAAACAAUGCCAAAGACGUUACUGUUAAAGAGUGAGCUGAAAUGCUUGUCCAUAAUGUAACAAACUGUGCUUUAAUAAAACCAUACAUCAAUCUA
Long non-coding RNA from Dromaius novaehollandiae (emu), 9862 nucleotides. RefSeq lists it as uncharacterized. The transcript is spliced from 5 exons. NCBI's taxonomy places the organism in Eukaryota, Metazoa, Chordata, Aves, Casuariiformes, Dromaiidae. The record is from RefSeq and is a predicted model, not a curated record.